Molecule: ribosomal RNA, 494 nt
Filed under: uncultured bacterium
Lineage: Bacteria
Description: partial 16S ribosomal RNA
Rfam family: Bacterial small subunit ribosomal RNA
Source: RNAcentral
GAUGAACGCUGGCGGCGUGCCUAAUACAUGCAAGUCGAACGGUGAAGUGCCUUCCUUUUUGGUGGGUGUGGAUGAGUGGCGAACGGGUGAGUAACACGUGAGUAACCUGCCCCCUCCUUCUGGAUAACCGCAAGAAAGUGUGGCUAAUACGGGACAUUCUGGGCCUGUCGCAUGAUGGGUCUGGGAAAGAUUUUCUUUCGGUGGGGGAUGGGCCCGCGGCCUAUCAGCUUGUUGGUGGGGUGAGGGCCUACCAAGGCGGUGACGAGUAGCCGUCCUGAGAGGGUGGGCGGCACUACGGGUGCGGAGCCACCGACCAGACUACGACGGGAGGCAGCAGGGGAGAAUACUGCACGAUGGGCGGAAGGAUGGUGCAGCGACGCGGCAGGAGGGAUGGAGGCCUGCGGGUUGUGAACCUCUAUCACGAGUGAAGCAGGGCUGCCUCGUUUGUGGGUGGGUUGACGGUAGCUGGACAAAAAGCGCCGGCUAACUACGUG